GUGUCAGCAGCCGCGGUAAUACGAAGGGGGCUAGCGUUGUUCGGAUUUACUGGGCGUAAAGCGCACGUAGGCGGAUCUUUAAGUCAGGGGUGAAAUGCCGGAGCUCAACUUCGGAACUGCCUUUGAUACUGGAGAUCUUGAGUUCGAGAGAGGUGAGUGGAACUGCGAGUGUAGAGGUGAAAUUCGUAGAUAUUCGCAAGAACACCAGUGGCGAAGGCGGCUCACUGGCUCGAUACUGACGCUGAGGUGCGAAAGCGUGGGGAGCAAACAGGAUUAGAAACCCCUGUAGUCC
This 292-nucleotide ribosomal RNA is filed under the name uncultured bacterium. Its description in RNAcentral is "partial 16S ribosomal RNA". It matches the Rfam family "Bacterial small subunit ribosomal RNA", at positions 505 to 796 of the family's 1533-position model. The record is from RNAcentral.